Molecule: ribosomal RNA, 1342 nt
Filed under: Salmonella enterica
Lineage: Bacteria; Pseudomonadati; Pseudomonadota; Gammaproteobacteria; Enterobacterales; Enterobacteriaceae
Description: partial 23S ribosomal RNA
Rfam family: Bacterial large subunit ribosomal RNA
Source: RNAcentral
GUUGCAGGGUAUAGACCCGAAACCCGGUGAUCUAGCCAUGGGCAGGUUGAAGGUUGGGUAACACUAACUGGAGGACCGAACCGACUAAUGUUGAAAAAUUAGCGGAUGACCUGUGGCUGGGGGUGAAAGGCCAAUCAAACCGGGAGAUAGCUGGUUCUCCCCGAAAGCUAUUUAGGUAGCGCCUCGUGAAUUCAUCUCCGGGGGUAGAGCACUGUUUCGGCUAGGGGGCCAUCCCGGCUUACCAACCCGAUGCAAACUGCGAAUACCGGAGAAUGUUAUCACGGGAGACACACGGCGGGUGCUAACGUCCGUCGUGAAGAGGGAAACAACCCAGACCGCCAGCUAAGGUCCCAAAGUCAUGGUUAAGUGGGAAACGAUGUGGGAAGGCCCAGACAGCCAGGAUGUUGGCUUAGAAGCAGCCAUCAUUUAAAGAAAGCGUAAUAGCUCACUGGUCGAGUCGGCCUGCGCGGAAGAUGUAACGGGGCUAAACCAUGCACCGAAGCUGCGGCAGCGAACGUAUCACCCAAGACAACUUUACGGAGUUGACGAUUGACGGAGCGAAGCGACGUCAAAGCGUUCAUUAAAGUCGAGUUGGCUUAGGGAUACGUUCGUUGGGUAGGGGAGCGUUCUGUAAGCCUGUGAAGGUGUGUCGUGAGGCAUGCUGGAGGUAUCAGAAGUGCGAAUGCUGACAUAAGUAACGAUAAAGCGGGUGAAAAGCCCGCUCGCCGGAAGACCAAGGGUUCCUGUCCAACGUUAAUCGGGGCAGGGUGAGUCGACCCCUAAGGCGAGGCCGAAAGGCGUAGUCGAUGGGAAACGGGUUAAUAUUCCCGUACUUGGUGUUACUGCGAAGGGGGGACGGAGAAGGCUAUGUUGGCCGGGCGACGGUUGUCCCGGUUUAAGCGUGUAGGUGUGUGUUCCAGGUAAAUCCGGUUCACUUUAACACUGAGGCGUGACGACGAGGCACUACGGUGCUGAAGCAACAAAUGCCCUGCUUCCAGGAAAAGCCUCUAAGCAUCAGGUAACAUCAAAUCGUACCCCAAACCGACACAGGUGGUCAGGUAGAGAAUACCAAGGCGCUUGAGAGAACUCGGGUGAAGGAACUAGGCAAAAUGGUGCCGUAACUUCGGGAGAAGGCACGCUGACACGUAGGUGAAGUGAUUUACUCAUGGAGCUGAAGUCAGUCGAAGAUACCAGCUGGCUGCAACUGUUUAUUAAAAACACAGCACUGUGCAAACACGAAAGUGGACGUAUACGGUGUGACGCCUGCCCGGUGCCGGAAGGUUAAUUGAUGGGGUCAGCGCAAGCGAAGCUCCUGAUCGAAGCCCCGGUAAACGGCGGCCGU